This 226-nucleotide long non-coding RNA is filed under the name Setaria italica (foxtail millet). RNAcentral's name for it is "long non-coding RNA (SITA_LNC000754)". Lineage: Eukaryota; Viridiplantae; Streptophyta; Magnoliopsida; Poales; Poaceae. The record is from RNAcentral.
UGCGGAGUCCGAGGCCACCCGCGGCCUCCGCUGCCUCCUCCGCAUCGGUGAGCUCGCCUGACGCAGGCGAGCUCCCACCACACGGCCCCCACAGGCCACGGCCGGACCAGCGUCCGCUCCUCUGAAGUCGUCGCCUCUUCUCGUCUUCCUCUUCUCCGGUUGUUCCCGACCUACGGGAUGGAUGGAUCUAUGGAUGGUUAGCGCCUGAUGGGCGGUUGGAUCCGAC